GGGAUAGCCCGGAGAAACUCGGAUUAACACCGCAUGACACUGCUUUCCGGCAUCCGGAGGUAGUCAAAUAUUCAUAGGAUAUGGAUGGGCUCGCGUGACAUUAGCUAGUUGGUGGGGUAACGGCUCACCAAGGCGACGAUGUCUAGGGGCUCUGAGAGGAGAAUCCCCCACACUGGUACUGAGACACGGACCAGACUCCUACGGGAGGCAGCAGUAAGGAAUAUUGGUCAAUGGGGGCAACCCUGAACCAGCCAUGCCGCGUGCAGGAUGACUGCCCUAUGGGUUGUAAACUGCUUUUGUUAGGGAAUAAACCCCGCUACGUGUAGCGGGCUGAAUGUACCNNAAGAAUAAGGAUCGGCUAACUCCGUGCCAGCAGCCNCGGUAAUACGGAGGAUCCGAGCGUUAUCCGGAUUUAUUGGGUUUAAAGGGUGCGUAGGCGGCACUUUAAGUCAGGGGUGAAAGACGGCAGCUCAACUGUCGCAGUGCCCUUGAUACUGAAGUGCUUGAAUGCGGUUGAAGACGGCGGAAUGAGACAAGUAGCGGUGAAAUGCAUAGAUAUGUCUCAGAACACCGAUUGCGAAGGCAGCUGUCUAAGCCGUUAUUGACGCUGAUGCGCGAAAGCGUGGGGAUCGAACAGGAUUAGAUACCCUGGUAGUCCACGCCCUAAACGAUGAUGACUCGAUGUUUGCGAUAUACCGUAAGCGUCCAAGCGAAAGCGUUAAGUCAUCCACCUGGGGAGUACGCCCGCAAGGGUGAAACUCAAAGGAAUUCACGGGGGCCCGCACAAGCGGAGGA
This 795-nucleotide ribosomal RNA is filed under the name Sphingobacterium mizutaii. Its description in RNAcentral is "bacterial SSU rRNA". It matches the Rfam family "Bacterial small subunit ribosomal RNA", at positions 140 to 936 of the family's 1533-position model. The record is from RNAcentral. Lineage: Bacteria; Pseudomonadati; Bacteroidota; Sphingobacteriia; Sphingobacteriales; Sphingobacteriaceae.